Molecule: ribosomal RNA, 569 nt
Filed under: uncultured bacterium
Lineage: Bacteria
Description: bacterial SSU rRNA
Rfam family: Bacterial small subunit ribosomal RNA
Source: RNAcentral
UGGGAGAUUUAUCUCUCAGUGGCGCAGCUAACGCAUUAAGCUCUCCGCCUGGGGAGUACGGUCGCAAGAUUAAAACUCAAAGGGAUUGACGGGGGCCCGCACAAGCAGUGGAGCAUGUGGUUUAAUUCGAAGCAACGCGAAGAACCUUACCAGCCCUUGACAUGGCAGGACGAUUUCCGGAGACGGAUCUCUUCACUUCGGUGACCUGCACACAGGUGCUGCAUGGCUGUCGUCAGCUCGUGUCGUGAGAUGUUGGGUUAAGUCCCGCAACGAGCGCAACCCUCGCCCUUAGUUGCCAUCAUUUAGUUGGGCACUCUAGGGGGACUGCCGGUGAUAAGCCGGAGGAAGGUGGGGAUGACGUCAAGUCUUCAUGGCCCUUACGGGCUGGGCUACACACGUGCUACAAUGGCGGUGACAGAGGGUUGCUACACAGCGAUGUGAUGCUAAUCCCUAAAAGCCGUCUCAGUUCGGAUUGCACUCUGCAACUCGGGUGCAUGAAGUCGGAAUUGCUAGUAAUCGCAGAUCAGCACGCUGCGGUGAAUACGUUCCCGGGCCUUGUACACACCGCC